Molecule: ribosomal RNA, 610 nt
Filed under: uncultured eukaryote
Lineage: Eukaryota
Description: bacterial SSU rRNA
Rfam family: Bacterial small subunit ribosomal RNA
Source: RNAcentral
UUUUGGAGAGGGCAACCACUGGAAACGGUGGCUAAUACCUCAUAUUGCUGAGAAGUGAAAUGAUGAAUAAUCUGCCAAGAGAUGGGCUUGCGUCUGAUUAGCUAGUUGGUGGGGUAAUGGCUUACCAAGGCGAUGAUCAGUAGCUGGUCUGAGAGGAUGAUCAGCCACACUGGGACUGAGACACGGCCCAGACUCCUACGGGAGGCAGCAGUGAGGAAUUUUCCGCAAUGGGCGAAAGCCUGACGGAGCAAUGCCGCGUGAAGGAUGAAGGCCUGUGGGUUGUAAACUUCUUUUCUCAGAGAAGAAAUAAUGACGGUAUCUGAGGAAUAAGCAUCGGCUAACUCUGUGCCAGCAGCCGCGGUAAGACAGAGGAUGCAAGCGUUAUCCGGAAUGAUUGGGCGUAAAGCGUCUGUAGGUGGCUUGAAAAGUCUCCUGUCAAAGAUCAGGGCUUAACCCUGGGCCGGCAGGAGAAACUCUUAGGCUAGAGUUCGGUAGGGGCAGAGGGAAUUCCCGGUGGAGCGGUGAAAUGCGUAGAGAUCGGGAGGAACACCAAAGGCGAAAGCACUCUGCUGGGCCGCGACUGACACUGAGAGACGAAAGCGAGGGGAGC